AUGUACCCACGUACACUCCGGGUCCUCCGCGCCGUCCGUACCCACCUGACGGCUGCUCGCUACGUUUUGUUAGCC
This 75-nucleotide small RNA is filed under the name Xanthomonas campestris. Its description in RNAcentral is "sX9 sRNA". It matches the Rfam family "Xanthomonas sRNA sX9". The record is from RNAcentral. Lineage: Bacteria; Pseudomonadati; Pseudomonadota; Gammaproteobacteria; Lysobacterales; Lysobacteraceae.